UCUGUGACUCCUACGGGAGGCAGCAGUGGGGAAUAUUGCACAAUGGGCGCAAGCCUGAUGCAGCCAUGCCGCGUGUGUGAAGAAGGCCUUCGGGUUGUAAAGCACUUUCAGUUGUGAGGAAGGUGGUGUCGUUAAUAGCGGCAUCAUUUGACGUUAGCAACAGAAGAAGCACCGGCUAACUCCGUGCCAGCAGCCGCGGUAAUACGGAGGGUGCGAGCGUUAAUCGGAAUUACUGGGCGUAAAGCGCAUGCAGGUGGUUUGUUAAGUCAGAUGUGAAAGCCCGGGGCUCAACCUCGGAACUGCAUUUGAAACUGGCAGACUAGAGUACUGUAGAGGGGGUAGAAUUUCAGGUGUAGCGGUGAAAUGCGUAGAGAUCUGAAGGAAUACCGGUGGCGAAGGCGGCCCCCUGGACAGAUACUGACACUCAGAUGCGAAAGCGUGGGGAGCAAACAGGAUUAGAUACCCUGGGAG
Molecule: ribosomal RNA, 471 nt
Filed under: uncultured bacterium
Lineage: Bacteria
Description: bacterial SSU rRNA
Rfam family: Bacterial small subunit ribosomal RNA
Source: RNAcentral